AACGCACCUUGCGCUCCUUGGUAUUCCGAGGAGCAUGCCUGUUUGAGUGUCAUUAAAUUCUCAACUUCAUCAACUUUGUUGUUGAAGCUUGGAUGUGGGGGUCUUGCAGGUCUGCCUUAAUUGUGUGGUCUGCUCCUCUGAAAUAUAUUAGCGGGUUGGCUUCCCUCUAUCAGUGUGAUAAUUAUCUACGCUGUGGAUGGGUUUAGCUUUCAGACCAGCUUCUAAUCGUCCUUCUAGGACAAUCUCUUGACGUUUUUGACCUCAAAUCAGGUAGGACUACCCGCUGAACUUAA
This 293-nucleotide unclassified non-coding RNA is filed under the name uncultured Lacrymaria. Its description in RNAcentral is "sequence contains ITS2". The stretch from base 1 to 52 matches the Rfam family "5.8S ribosomal RNA", at positions 103 to 154 of the family's 154-position model. The record is from RNAcentral. Lineage: Eukaryota; Fungi; Basidiomycota; Agaricomycetes; Agaricales; Agaricaceae.